Molecule: long non-coding RNA, 201 nt
Filed under: Elaeis guineensis (African oil palm)
Lineage: Eukaryota; Viridiplantae; Streptophyta; Magnoliopsida; Arecales; Arecaceae
Description: long non-coding RNA (EGUI_LNC036395)
Source: RNAcentral
CUCCAGGUAUUUCUUUCUUCUCGUUGCUUUUUUUGGUUGUGAUGCACUGGAUAUUUGGUUCUCUUUCUCAGUUUUGGUCUUUUCCCAUUUUAGAUCUUUGAGGGAGGGGGUGUUCUAAUUAUGGUUCUUGUGCUAGGAUCUCAUUUUGGUGAAACAAUGAAAGUUAAGAAGGUCAAAUAUACUGAGAAAAAAGAUAAGUAA